RNAcentral lists this transfer RNA (84 nucleotides) under Gemmatimonadota bacterium. RNAcentral's name for it is "tRNA-Ser". It matches the Rfam family "tRNA". From Rfam's summary of the family: Transfer RNA (tRNA) molecules are approximately 80 nucleotides in length. Lineage: Bacteria; Pseudomonadati; Gemmatimonadota. The record is from RNAcentral.
GGAGGGCUAGACCUAAUUGGUAAGGCAGCGGUCUUGAAAACCGCCGCGCGCAAGCGCUUACAGGUUCGAAUCCUGUGCCCUCCG